This 594-nucleotide ribosomal RNA is filed under the name Escherichia coli. RNAcentral's name for it is "bacterial SSU rRNA". It matches the Rfam family "Bacterial small subunit ribosomal RNA", at positions 130 to 719 of the family's 1533-position model. Lineage: Bacteria; Pseudomonadati; Pseudomonadota; Gammaproteobacteria; Enterobacterales; Enterobacteriaceae. The record is from RNAcentral.
CUGAUGGAGGGGGAUAACUACUGGAAACGGUAGCUAAUACCGCAUAACGUCGCAAGACCAAAGAGGGGGACCUUCGGGCCUCUUGCCAUCGGAUGUGCCCAGAUGGGAUUAGCUAGUAGGUGGGGUAACGGCUCACCUAGGCGACGAUCCCUAGCUGGUCUGAGAGGAUGACCAGCCACACUGGAACUGAGACACGGUCCAGACUCCUACGGGAGGCAGCAGUGGGGAAUAUUGCACAAUGGGCGCAAGCCUGAUGCAGCCAUGCCGCGUGUAUGAAGAAGGCCUUCGGGUUGUAAAGUACUUUCAGCGGGGAGGAAGGGAGUAAAGUUAAUACCUUUGCUCAUUGACGUUACCCGCAGAAGAAGCACCGGCUAACUCCGUGCCAGCAGCCGCGGUAAUACGGAGGGUGCAAGCGUUAAUCGGAAUUACUGGGCGUAAAGCGCACGCAGGCGGUUUGUUAAGUCAGAUGUGAAAUCCCCGGGCUCAACCUGGGAACUGCAUCUGAUACUGGCAAGCUUGAGUCUCGUAGAGGGGGGUAGAAUUCCAGGUGUAGCGGUGAAAUGCGUAGAGAUCUGGAGGAAUACCGGUGGCGAA